GGGGGCGCAAUGGUUUCGACGGGGAUUCUGAAAUACGGUAAGCGGGUAGAGCCGGGUAACUCUUAAACUGCCCAAGACAAAUUAAACGCGAACGAUAAAGUCGCACUGGCCGCGUAAGCGGUGCCGCUGCCAUAAGGCAGCCCGUUCCUCCCGGGAAUACCGCGGCCCGGGACUGAACGUCAGCUAGCGGUGAACGUGAAUACGGAUAUGCCGUCGGCCGUAUUCAUGUACAAGACGGCUUACCGGGCAGGCAGCCUGUAUGCCGGCGGCCUGCAAGGGAAAUUUAAAUGACAUAAUGCACCCGGAGAAAGCCGUAUUGACGGAUUUUCGGACAGGGGUUCGAUUCCCCUCGCCUCCACCA
Molecule: transfer-messenger RNA, 361 nt
Filed under: Eubacteriales
Lineage: Bacteria; Bacillati; Bacillota; Clostridia
Also listed under: 2 other names
Description: UMGS1002 sp012837425 Standard tmRNA
Rfam family: transfer-messenger RNA
About the family: Bacterial tmRNA, also known as 10Sa RNA or SsrA, is named for its dual tRNA and mRNA-like properties.
Source: RNAcentral